This is a small nuclear RNA of Cricetulus griseus (Chinese hamster), 103 nucleotides long. The record is from Ensembl. Lineage: Eukaryota; Metazoa; Chordata; Mammalia; Rodentia; Cricetidae.
UGCUUGCUUCAGCAGCAGUAUAUUUAAAUUGGAAUGAUAGAGAAGAUUAGCGUGGCCUCUCUGCAAGGAUGGCAUGUGAAUUCAUGAAGUGUUAGCUAUUUUU